RNAcentral lists this ribosomal RNA (542 nucleotides) under uncultured bacterium. Its description in RNAcentral is "partial 16S ribosomal RNA". It matches the Rfam family "Bacterial small subunit ribosomal RNA", at positions 355 to 914 of the family's 1533-position model. The record is from RNAcentral.
UAGGGAAUCUUGCGCAAUGGGCGAAAGCCUGACGCAGCCAUGCCGCGUGAAUGAUGAAGGUCUUAGGAUUGUAAAAUUCUUUCACCGGGGAAGAUAAUGACGGUACCCGGAGAAGAAGCCCCGGCUAACUUCGUGCCAGCAGCCGCGGUAAUACGAAGGGGGCUAGCGUUGCUCGGAAUUACUGGGCGUAAAGGGCGCGUAGGCGGACAGUUUAGUCAGAGGUGAAAGCCCAGGGCUCAACCUUGGAAAUGCCUUUGAUACUGGCUGUCUUGAGUUCGGGAGAGGUGAGUGGAAUGCCGAGUGUAGAGGUGAAAUUCGUAGAUAUUCGGCGGAACACCAGUGGCGAAGGCGACUCACUGGCCCGAUACUGACGCUGAGGCGCGAAAGCGUGGGGAGCAAACAGGAUUAGAUACCCUGGUAGUCCACGCCGUAAACGAUGAGUGCUAGUUGUCGGCAUGCAUGCAUGUCGGUGACGCAGCUAACGCAUUAAGCACUCCGCCUGGGGAGUACGGUCGCAAGAUUAAAAACUCAAAUGAAUUGAC